UACGUAGGGUGCGAGCGUUAAUCGGAAUUACUGGGCGUAAAGCGUGCGUAGGCGGUUUUUCAAGCUUGAUGUGAAAGCCCCGGGCUUAACCUGGGAAUGGCAUUGAGGACUGAGAGGCUAGAGUGCGGCAGAGGGAGGUGGAAUUCCUGGUGUAGCGGUGGAAUGCGCAGAUAUCAGGAGGAACACCAAUAGCGAAGGCAGCUCGCUGGGACGGUACUGACGCUAAGGCGCGAAAGCGUGGGGAGCGAACAGG
This 253-nucleotide ribosomal RNA is filed under the name uncultured bacterium. Its description in RNAcentral is "partial 16S ribosomal RNA". It matches the Rfam family "Bacterial small subunit ribosomal RNA", at positions 524 to 776 of the family's 1533-position model. The record is from RNAcentral.